UGCCCAGCAAAUCCUAUCCCUAUCUCCUCGCGGUACUGGCCGGGGUACGAGUAACCAUGGGGAAGA
Molecule: non-coding RNA, 66 nt
Organism: Aedes aegypti (yellow fever mosquito)
Lineage: Eukaryota; Metazoa; Arthropoda; Insecta; Diptera; Culicidae
Source: Rfam